RNAcentral lists this ribosomal RNA (388 nucleotides) under uncultured bacterium. RNAcentral's name for it is "bacterial SSU rRNA". It matches the Rfam family "Bacterial small subunit ribosomal RNA", at positions 420 to 826 of the family's 1533-position model. The record is from RNAcentral.
GGGUCGUAAAGCUCUGUCCUAUGGGAAGAUAAUGACGGUACCAUAGGAGGAAGCCCCGGCUAACUACGUGCCAGCAGCCGCGGUAAUACGUGGGGGGCAAGCGUUAUCCGGAAUUACUGGGCGUAAAGGGUGCGUAGGCGGUUUAUCAAGUCAGGGGUGAAAGGCUACGGCUCAACCGUAGUGAGCCUCUGAAACUGGUGAACUUGAGUGUAGGAGAGGAAAGUGGAAUUCCCAGUGUAGCGGUGAAAUGCGUAGAUAUUGGGAGGAACACCAGUGGCGAAGGCGACUUUCUGGACUACAACUGACGCUGAGGCACGAAAGCGUGGGGAGCAAACAGGAUUAGAUACCCUGGUAGUCCACGCUGUAAACGAUGAGUACUAGGUGUCGG